This 269-nucleotide signal recognition particle RNA is filed under the name Mesoaciditoga lauensis. Its description in RNAcentral is "signal recognition particle sRNA large type". It matches the Rfam family "Bacterial large signal recognition particle RNA". Rfam says of the family: The signal recognition particle (SRP) is a universally conserved ribonucleoprotein involved in the co-translational targeting of proteins to membranes. Archaeal SRP consists of a 7S RNA and homologues of the eukaryotic SRP19 and SRP54 proteins. In most bacteria, the SRP consists of a 4.5S RNA and the Ffh protein (a homologue of the eukaryotic SRP54 protein). Lineage: Bacteria; Thermotogati; Thermotogota; Thermotogae; Mesoaciditogales; Mesoaciditogaceae. RNAcentral also lists the same sequence under 2 other names. The record is from RNAcentral.
CCAUGCUAAGCGGGGAGUUAGCGGUUCCCUCAACCCGAAAUCCGCUUUAUGCGGGGCUGAAAGCCGUUCCGAGGCUGGCAGGGGUAAGAAAUGGGACUUUCUUCGAGAACGUUGAAGACAAGGUCCUGUGCGACGGAAUCCCACGAACCUGGUCAGGUCCGAGAGGAAGCAGCCAUAAGUGGAGCUUUCCGUGCGACACGGGAGUGCUUUGUCGGAGUUCUUCGAAAAAGUAACCGCUUGUUCCUGCCCAGUCAAAGACGGAUGCAUGG